AUGCCCACGGCAGCUCGCUGCCUGUCUGCUACGGGCAGAGCUCAGCCCCUCCAGUACCAAAGGCACCGCAGCCUUCAUCCCUCCUGCAUCCUGUCCCAACGUCCCUUUGGUUUGCCCCAUUCCCCUUUUUGUUACAGGAAUACCAUGCCAAAAGGGGCGUACAGGAGGAUACGACACCCACAUACUCAAGGACAACGCAAGGCUGCCCAAAAUGAAGGCUUUGUAGGGCUGAGAGCUACAGGUCACCACCAGCAGUGUGUAACUCAGCAGCUGCUCAAAGACUCAUCUCCACCCUGGCUUUUUACUCUUGUAGGAGGCCACAAAGGGUUAAAAGACGCAGCUAGCACCCAGGCUGUGGAUUUAGCAACCCUUCUGACAUGGCACAGGAAUCUUAUCUUUAUUAACAAGCACAUAGCAGGCAAAGAUUCAGCCUUCCUGCAGGCUUCCCUCAUAAAAAAAGACCUUUGCCUCAACUGUUUCUCAUUUUACCCUCAUCCCCUUUGCUUAAAGGUCUCUGACACUCAUCCUGAGUGCCCCCAUGACAUACUCAUCACUCAACUUCUCCCAGCUUUUCUCCAAAGGAGAAUUCCUGGGCACCAGGAAGAUGCUGGGAAUGGCCUGGUGGGAGGGGUGCAGAAACAGCCUGGGCCCUGUGAGCAGGCCUGGUUAUGGGGCUCAGCAGUGCCCCCCCCUCGACAUGCUAGGACGAUCUUGUUCCAGGAAACGCACGGAGCAUCCUCUGGGAGAAGCAUUUCACAGGCCUGGUCCCCAGCCCAUGCACGGAGCCAUGCAGGGGAUGCAAAGCGCGCAGCCACGGGAACACGGGACCCCUGUCCCCUGCCACCACCCCUGCACGGUCAGCACAGAGCUGGCCCCGCUCCUCCCAGCCUGGCCCAGAUGAGCAAAACAGAUGAGUUCGCCCCGAUUUGUGCCUCCCACCCCACCCUCGCCCCAGGCUCCGGUCCUCGAGCCCCCACCGCCGCCCCCCCACGUCCCGGCACUGCGGGCAGGAAGCGCGCAGCCCCACGUGCGAUGCCCGCGCUGAGGUCACGGCCCGGAGCGGGGACAGACGCGGAGACAGACAGACAGACAGACGGGCGGACAUUGGCGCCGUGCUCAGCCCGGCACUGCCCUUCUCCCCACUGA
RNAcentral lists this long non-coding RNA (1146 nucleotides) under Numida meleagris (helmeted guineafowl). RNAcentral's name for it is "lncRNA (ENSNMEG00000004041.1)". The record is from RNAcentral. Lineage: Eukaryota; Metazoa; Chordata; Aves; Galliformes; Numididae.